GACGAACGCUGGCGGCGUGCUUAACACAUGCAAGUCGAGCGGAAAGGCCCUUUGGGGUACUCGAGCGGCGAACGGGUGAGUAACACGUGAGUAAUCUGCCCUGCACUUUGGGAUAACUGCCGGAAACGGUGGCUAAUACCGGAUAUGACUCCUUGCUGCAUGGUGGGGGUGGAAGUUUUUCGGUUGCGGGAUGUGCUCGCGGCCUAUCAGCUUGAUGGUGGGGUAAUGGCCUACCAUGGCUUCGACGGGUAGCCGGCCUGAGAGGGUGACCGGCCACACUGGGACUGAGACACGGCCCAGACUCCUACGGGAGGCAG
Molecule: ribosomal RNA, 317 nt
Filed under: uncultured Actinomycetes bacterium
Lineage: Bacteria; Bacillati; Actinomycetota; Actinomycetes
Description: bacterial SSU rRNA
Rfam family: Bacterial small subunit ribosomal RNA
Source: RNAcentral